CAACAGGGAUUGCCCUAGUAACGGCGAGUGAAGCGGCAACAGCUCAAAUUUGAAAUCUGGCCUCGGCCCGAGUUGUAAUUUGCAGAGGAUGCUUCUGGCGCGGUGCCUUCCGAGUUCCCUGGAACGGGACGCCACAGAGGGUGAGAGCCCCGUAUGGUCGGACACCAAGCCUGUGUGAAGCUCCUUCGACGAGUCGAGUAGUUUGGGAAUGCUGCUCUAAAUGGGAGGUAAAUCUCUUCUAAAGCUAAAUACCGGCCAGAGACCGAUAGCGCACAAGUAGAGUGAUCGAAAGAUGAAAAGCACCUUGAAAAGGGGGUUAAAUAGUACGUGAAAUUGUUGAAAGGGAAGCACUUAUGACCAGACUUGGGCCGGGCGGCUCAUCAGGGGUUCUCCCCUGUGCACUCCGCCCGGCACAGGCCAGCAUCGGUUCUCGUGGGGGGAUAAGACCGUCAGGAACGUAGCACUCUCCGGAGUGUGUUAUAGCCUGGCGGACGAUACCCCCGUGGGGACCGAGGUCCGCGCAUUGCAAGGAUGCUGGCGUAAUGGUCAUCAGUGACCCGUCUUGAAACACG
This 572-nucleotide ribosomal RNA is filed under the name Phomopsis sp. BLE12. Its description in RNAcentral is "LSU rRNA". It matches the Rfam family "Eukaryotic large subunit ribosomal RNA", at positions 66 to 663 of the family's 3401-position model. Lineage: Eukaryota; Fungi; Ascomycota; Sordariomycetes; Diaporthales; Diaporthaceae. The record is from RNAcentral.